This 256-nucleotide ribosomal RNA is filed under the name uncultured bacterium. RNAcentral describes it as "partial 16S ribosomal RNA". It matches the Rfam family "Bacterial small subunit ribosomal RNA", at positions 524 to 776 of the family's 1533-position model. The record is from RNAcentral.
AACGGGGGGAGCUAGUGUUACUCAUCGUUACUGGGCGUAAAGGGUGCGUAGGCUGUCUUUUAUGUUUUAAUAAAAUAAUCUAAGCGUAACUUAGAAAUUUAUUAUUAUACAAUUAGACUAUUGAGGACAAAAAAAGUUGGUUGUAUUUUUAGUGGAAAGGUGAAAUUUUUAGAUAUUGAGAGGACAUCCUAUAGGCGAAAGCAACUGGCUAUAAUGUUACUGACGCUGAAGCACGAAAGCUUAGGUAUCAAACAGG